Long non-coding RNA from Spea bombifrons (plains spadefoot toad), 753 nucleotides. RefSeq lists it as uncharacterized. The record is from RefSeq and is a predicted model, not a curated record. The transcript has 4 exons. NCBI's taxonomy places the organism in Eukaryota, Metazoa, Chordata, Amphibia, Anura, Pelobatidae.
GGCGGUCACGGUGUUGUGCGCAUGCGCACGAUGCGAAUUCUGGUACUAGGCCGGUUAGGAGCCUUCCGUAACCCCGCGCAUUUCCUUGAUUUUCCACGCUGUGAAAUGUAAUUGGUCUUCACUUCUGCUCAGAGGAAUCCGGUGAUCUUAAUCAUGAUGCCCGGGGAGACUCACUCCAAGCCUGCGGGCAUUGCUUCUGAGGCAGCAGGCACUUGUCAGAAUUGCACAGCCUUGCAACAGAAUUUAAACGAAUAUGUAGCAGCAUUAAUUGCACUCAAACAAAAGAUAAUAGACUCUGACCACCUGCUUGCGGAGUAUCAGCAGAAAUGUGAAGAUAUCCUUUAUUGAAAUACUUGUUUUACAUUGCAGCCGUUUUAUAUGUUGUAAAUUACAUCUGCUCUUGUAUUUGUAGCUUUACCACAAGAAUUCCGAUAUGUGACUAGGGUUCAUUUAUAGUAGCAUUUUCAACAUUUCUCCUUGUUCAGCCGUGAUUUCUCAUUUAGUGUACACAAGCAAAUUAAAUUGGCUACAGUGGCAAACCUACUAGGAGACACGAUCUGACACUCGCUCAGUCAGGGUGAUGGGAUCCUCCUAUGUUGCCGCUGGAAAGUGAACCUAUGUAUUUAAAUCCCCUUUAUGUGACAGGUUCAUCUGCCAUGCACUGAUACUUAAAGCUAAGGUGCAAUAGUACACAAAACUCUGGCACUCAAGGAUGUACUGUCAUGUGCAUAGGCAUGAAAUAGUUAAUUUUAA